GUCUGGGGAUGUGCUAACUAUCUGGCAGCCCUCCUGGGUUUCUCUCACGUGAGGCAAGAUCAGCACACAUGCGGCAGAGAACCUGUCAGCUAUAACCGUCUGCAGAAUCUUGCCAGCUCAGAGUCUGUACACAACAGGGAAACAUGACCGUCUCAGGAGGAGUGGAGAAAACACGCUGACUGAUUAGGACUCAGCUUUACUCUCUCCUUUUGUGAGCCUUCCUUCUUUUGUUGGACCCACAACCAGUGUCUCUUUGGUGGAACUGCCUCUUCCUCCCUGAAGACCAAAUGUGGGAAAUUCCGCCUGGCUCUCAGGACGAUGUCACUUCCAGUUCCACCCCAGAAGACGUCAGUUCUAGACCAACAGAAGACCCCACCUCCUAAUGACGUAACUUCCACAUCGCAAAAAGUUGCAGCCUGAUGGCCUCAUUUCCGGUUCCGGUCCCAAGAUCCCUCCUCUUCCUGCUUUUCAACUAUAUA
This is a long non-coding RNA of Polypterus senegalus (gray bichir), 479 nucleotides long. RefSeq lists it as uncharacterized. The transcript is spliced from 3 exons. The record is from RefSeq and is a predicted model, not a curated record. Lineage: Eukaryota; Metazoa; Chordata; Cladistia; Polypteriformes; Polypteridae.